Molecule: long non-coding RNA, 990 nt
Filed under: Homo sapiens (human)
Lineage: Eukaryota; Metazoa; Chordata; Mammalia; Primates; Hominidae
Description: long independently transcribed non-coding RNA 370, transcript variant 3 (LINC00370)
Source: RNAcentral
ACUGCUUCAUGACAAGAGGUUCCAUGCUGACAGCAUCUGGGGAAACCUCGCUGGGCCUCGGAGGUCCUUCCUAUGGGUGAUAUGCCACCCACCCUGGGUCGAGAGUCAGAGAAGCGCGGCCGGUCCCACUGCUGGCUUCGCCUGCCUGUUUCCCACAGCUUCCCUCUAGUCAUCCACCUACACCUGCUGCCCAGUUCCCUAGAAACCUGCCUAGUGUAAAAGGAAGCAACUCUGGAGAACAGAAUGAGAAAUCAGAAAGCAAGGCCCUGUCCUCUGAGUUCUGUCCUGGAUGGGGACUGAGGAAGUUUUAUGUGGUCCAGAGAGGCUGCAUCAGUCUCAGGCCCCUAAGCCUUGCCUGGUUCAACAGUAUUAUUUCACUCACGCUGGUCACCCCAUUGUUAGAAAGAGCAAGGAAAGGAGGAUGAGAAAGGAAGAGAGGGAGGGAGAAAAUUGUCCCCAAGAAAAGGAAACUAUUGUCUGGUUCAAUCUUUCAUUUCUAUUCUCUACCCUGGCAAGAACGUUGGAGCUUACCAUCAUAAGUGACAGGAAUGAACAUUGGAGCUUACCAUCAUAAGUGACGGGAAUAGCAUUAUCUCCAAACCUGAGAUCCUUCCAAUGGGAAUUCUACAACUCCUGGGAGUUUAUGAUUCACACAUGUAGACAAUGUCUGUACCUAUACUCAGAGAUGUAGACUGGCCUCAAUAGAGUUCAUUGAGCUAAAACAAUACUAGGUAAACAAUGGAAUUUAUUUUCAAGACUGAACUCAGUUCUCAUCAGUUCAAGGUUAACCUCAACAAAAUGAAUCCAGUAAUGGAAAGAAAAUGAAAAAAAGAACAAACAAAACGAAAUGACUGCACUACGUAUUUAGGCCCAGCUGACAGAAUCUCAACACUGAAUGAUACUGAUAAAUAGGUUUCCUUGUGUAUCCAGUGUGAAGUCUUGGUUGUUAUUCGUUUUCCAACGAACAUUAAAGUCAUCUUUGGAUUCUCU